This 1399-nucleotide long non-coding RNA is filed under the name Sinocyclocheilus grahami. Its description in RNAcentral is "lncRNA (ENSSGRG00000028907.1)". The record is from RNAcentral. Lineage: Eukaryota; Metazoa; Chordata; Actinopteri; Cypriniformes; Cyprinidae.
CGAAAGGACACGUAGUUUUGAAUAAAAAGGCGACACACCUUCACUCAGAGUGGAUGUGAAACCGGAUGAGGCUCCGCUGGUCUUCAAGACGAGCGCGUUGGCCAACUAUCUGAAAUAUAUGUAACAUUUCCCCCAAAACUGUCGAGACGAACAGAAAAUGUAAGGAAACUGUUUUUUUAUAGGUUUAAAAUUGAUCGGCUUCAGAGCGCUCGUGUCGUUAGUCAAGUCGAGAGUGCAGAUAACGGAUUAAAAUAUCAGUCGACAGGCGAGAUGUAAACAUACUCGUAGGAAAAACAGCAAUAUUACUGUGUCAGGGCUUAAAGACACUUUGUAACAAAACAAAACAACAUAACGCACACAUAUUAAUUUACUGCUGUAUCAUCUGUCGCAGUUGCACCGAUCGACCGUUGGAAUUAAAAUUUUUAACCCAACUGGUUGCGUUAUAGAAAUAACCCAAUAAACAUAGGAGUAACCCAACAAAACGACCCAACAUGUUAACCCAGAUAUUGGGUACAGUAGGUGCUUUCACUCUUACAGCACAAGCUCCUGUCAUCAGCCGUUUGCUUACCUUGAUUCGUUGACCACAAAAUAUCACCUUUAGACUUUGAGCGGCCCGUUUCUUCAUGAAAGAGUGAUCGAUGAACAGCUUGUGCAUGUGAUGACAGGUUUCGCUGUUACUCAGACUCAGUAUUAAAUCUGUCAGAGCUGUGGCUGACGUGUGUGCGUGUGUGCGUGUGUGUGUGUGUGUGCGUGUGUGCGUGUGUGUGUGUGUGAGAGGGUUUGUGUGUGUGUGUGUGUGUGAGAGGGUUUGUUUGUGUGUGUGUGUGUGUGAGAGGGUUUGUUUGUGUGUGUGGUUUUUUACUUUUAAGCUAACUAGCUUCUUUACUGUUCUGCUCAGGAACUCCUAUCAAUAAGCGACCGGUGCUGGGCUACAGGAACCUGAAUCUUUUUAAACUCUACCGGCUGGUGCAUAAGCUCGGAGGAUUUGACAAUAUCGAGAUCGGAUCUGUCUGGAAGCAGGUGUAUCAGGAUCUGGGCAUCCCCGUGCUCAACUCCGCAGCCGGUUACAACGUCAAAUGCACCUACAGAAAGUACGUACAUCCUUCAUCAGCCCCUUUCCCAGGGAGACAAUGACAGCGACAGUAAACCGCAAGCUGCUCUUAGUUAUUGUAAAAAAGCUUGCAAAGAACAAGCACUGAAUGCAUCUGUUCUGUCUGUUAGCGCAGAGCUGUUGCAAAAACUGGCACACGUCUUCUAUCCAGAGUUAUCGUUGUUGUUGUUUACUACUAUUAAAACAGUUUUAUUAAUUGAAUUAAAGCUGUAAAUAUUAGAUGAAAACCUUCAGUUCAGUUAUUUGCCAAGGCAACAUUUAUAAUUUUUGUUUAGUUUAAGAAGCACU